CUGUUGCGGCGCAGGAGGUCGCCGGGGGCGCGUCGUCCACGUGGUGGGCGGCGCCUCUCGGAGGAAAGUCCGGGCUCCACAGGGCAGAGCGCCAGGUAACGCCUGGUGGGGGUGACCCCGAGGAAAGUGCCACAGAAAACACACCGCCAGGCAGCGCCUGGUAAGGUUGAAAUGGUGGGGUAAGAGCCCACCGCGUGGGCGGUGACGCGCACGGCUAGGUAAACCCCGCUCGGAGCAAGGCCAAAUAGAGGAGCGCUCGAGGGCUGCCCGCCCAAGCUCCCGGGUAGGCUGCUGGAGGGCCUCGGUGACGGGGCUCGUAGAGGAAUGAUCUCCAGCGGCGUCGGGGCGACCCGGCGCCGACACAGAACCCGGCUUACGCACCCAACAGCCAC
This 392-nucleotide RNase P RNA is filed under the name Polyangiaceae bacterium. Its description in RNAcentral is "RNase P RNA component class A". It matches the Rfam family "Bacterial RNase P class A". From Rfam's summary of the family: Ribonuclease P (RNase P) is a ubiquitous endoribonuclease, found in archaea, bacteria and eukarya as well as chloroplasts and mitochondria. The record is from RNAcentral. Lineage: Bacteria; Pseudomonadati; Myxococcota; Polyangiales; Polyangiaceae.